AUACUGGAUAUGACCUCAGCAUGCAUGUGCUGGGGUGGAAAGCUUUUGUGGUGCAGGAUGGGCCCGCGGCCUAUCAGCUUGUUGGUGGGGUAAUGGCCUACCAAGGCGACGACGGGUAGCCGACCUGAGAGGGUGACCGGCCACACUGGGACUGAGACACGGCCCAGACUCCUACGGGAGGCAGCAGUGGGGAAUAUUGCACAAUGGGCGGAAGCCUGAUGCAGCGACGCCGCGUGAGGGAUGAAGGCCUUCGGGUUGUAAACCUCUUUCAGCAGGGACGAAGCGUGAGUGACGGUACCUGCAGAAGAAGCACCGGCUAACUACGUGCCAGCAGCCGCGGUAAUACGUAGGGUGCGAGCGUUGUCCGGAAUUACUGGGCGUAAAGAGUUCGUAGGCGGUUUGUCGCGUCGUUUGUGAAAACCCGGGGCUCAACUUCGGGCUUGCAGGCGAUACGGGCAGACUUGAGUGUUUCAGGGGAGACUGGAAUUCCUGGUGUAGCGGUGAAAUGCGCAGAUAUCAGGAGGAACACCGGUGGCGAAGGCGGGUCUCUGGGAAACAACUGACGCUGAGGAACGAAAGCGUGGGUAGCAAACAGGAUUAGAUACCCUGGUAGUCCACGCCGUAAACGGUGGGCGCU
RNAcentral lists this ribosomal RNA (637 nucleotides) under Rhodococcoides fascians. Its description in RNAcentral is "bacterial SSU rRNA". It matches the Rfam family "Bacterial small subunit ribosomal RNA", at positions 166 to 817 of the family's 1533-position model. The record is from RNAcentral. Lineage: Bacteria; Bacillati; Actinomycetota; Actinomycetes; Mycobacteriales; Nocardiaceae.